Molecule: ribosomal RNA, 434 nt
Rfam family: Bacterial small subunit ribosomal RNA
ACGGGAGGCAGCAGUGGGGAAUUUUGCGCAAUGGGGGCAACCCUGACGCAGCAACGCCGCGUGCGGGAUGACGGCCUUCGGGUUGUAAACCGCUUUCAGUGGGAAAGAUUAUGACGGUACCCACAGAAGAAGCUCCGGCUAACUACGUGCCAGCAGCCGCGGUAAUACGUAGGUGGCAAGCGUUAUCCGGAUUUACUGGGUGUAAAGGGCGCGUAGGCGGGGAUGCAAGUCAGAUGUGAAAUCUAUGGGCUUAACUCAUAAACUGCAUUUGAAACUGUAUCUCUUGAGUGCUGGAGAGGUAGAUGGAAUUCCUUGUGUAGCGGUGAAAUGCGUAGAUAUAAGGAAGAACACCAGUGGCGAAGGCGAUCUACUGGACAGUAACUGACGCUGAGGCGCGAAAGCGUGGGGAGCAAACAGGAUUAGAUACCCUGGUA